RNAcentral lists this ribosomal RNA (446 nucleotides) under uncultured bacterium. RNAcentral's name for it is "partial 16S ribosomal RNA". It matches the Rfam family "Bacterial small subunit ribosomal RNA", at positions 338 to 795 of the family's 1533-position model. The record is from RNAcentral.
CCUACGGGAUGCAGCAGUCGAGAAUCAUUCACAAUGGGGGAAACCCUGAUGGUGCGACGCCGCGUGGGGGAAUGAAGGUCUUCGGAUUGUAAACCCCUUUCAUGUGGGAGCAAAUUAAAAAGAUAGUACCACAAGAGGAAGAUACGGCGAACUCUGUGCCAGCAGCCGCGGUAAUACAGAGGUCUUAAGCCUUGUUCGGAAUCACUGGGCAUAAAGCGUGCGUAGGUUGUUACGUGAGCCUGGUGGGAAGUGUGCGGCCUCAUCCCGCGGACGACACAUGAAUCUGUGAUGCUAGAGGACAGGAGGGGUAACCGGAAUUCUCGGUGUAGCAGUGAAAUGCGUAGAUAUCGGAAGGAACACGCGUGGCGAAGGCAGGUUACUGGACAUUAACUGACGCUGAGGCACGAAGGCCUGGGGAGCGAAAGGGAUUAGAUACCCCAGUAGUC